UGAGGGAUGACGGCCUAUCGGGUUGUAAACCUCUUUUAGCAGGGAAGAAGCGAAAGUGACGGUACCUGCAGAAAAAGCGCCGGCUAACUACGUGCCAGCAGCCGCGGUAAUACGUAGGGCGCAAGCGUUAUCCGGAAUUAUUGGGCGUAAAGAGCUCGUAGGCGGUUUGUCGCGUCUGCUGUGAAAUCCCGAGGCUCAACCUCGGGCCUGCAGUGGGUACGGGCAGACUAGAGUGCGGUAGGGGAGAUUGGAAUUCCUGGUGUAGCGGUGGAAUGCGCAGAUAUCAGGAGGAACACCGAUGGCGAAGGCAGAUCUCUGGGCCGUAACUGACGCUGAGGAGCGAAAGGGUGGGGAGCAAACAGGCUUAGAUACCCUGGUAGUCCACCCCGUAAACGUUGGGAACUAGUUGUGGGGACCAUUCCACGGUUUCCGUGACGCAGCUAACGCAUUAAGUUCCCCGCCUGGGGAGUACGGCCGCAAGGCUAAAACUCAAAGGAAUUGACGGGGACCCGCACAAGCGGCGGAGCAUGCGGAUUAAUUCGAUGCAACGCGAAGAACCUUACCAAGGCUUGACAUAUACGAGAACGGGCCAGAAAUGGUCAACUCUUUG
Molecule: ribosomal RNA, 610 nt
Filed under: Microbacterium sp. Ri3Pt_4505
Lineage: Bacteria; Bacillati; Actinomycetota; Actinomycetes; Micrococcales; Microbacteriaceae
Description: bacterial SSU rRNA
Rfam family: Bacterial small subunit ribosomal RNA
Source: RNAcentral